GGUUAUAGCUCAGCGGUAGAGUACUUGCCUCCCAUGCAUGAGGCACUGAAUUCAAUCCUCAGCACCA
RNAcentral lists this transfer RNA (67 nucleotides) under Marmota monax (woodchuck). Its description in RNAcentral is "tRNA.Gly". It matches the Rfam family "tRNA". Rfam says of the family: Transfer RNA (tRNA) molecules are approximately 80 nucleotides in length. Their secondary structure includes four short double-helical elements and three loops (D, anti-codon, and T loops). Further hydrogen bonds mediate the characteristic L-shaped molecular structure. tRNAs have two regions of fundamental functional importance: the anti-codon, which is responsible for specific mRNA codon recognition, and the 3' end, to which the tRNAs corresponding amino acid is attached (by aminoacyl-tRNA synthetases). tRNAs cope with the degeneracy of the genetic code in two manners: having more than one tRNA (with a specific anti-codon) for a particular amino acid; and 'wobble' base-pairing, i.e. permitting non-standard base-pairing at the 3rd anti-codon position. The record is from RNAcentral. Lineage: Eukaryota; Metazoa; Chordata; Mammalia; Rodentia; Sciuridae.